GCCCUCUAGAUCCCUUACCUAUCAGAUCUAAACACUGGUAUGGGUGGUUAUAAAUGGAGGAAAAGUACAAUCAAAACUGACUUAAAUUCUUUUGGGACACAAGAGCUAGUUUCAAGAAACA
Echinops telfairi (small Madagascar hedgehog) is the source of this 121-nucleotide small nucleolar RNA. RefSeq annotates it as small nucleolar RNA SNORA61. The record is from RefSeq and is a predicted model, not a curated record. The transcript has a single exon. Lineage: Eukaryota; Metazoa; Chordata; Mammalia; Afrosoricida; Tenrecidae.